This 806-nucleotide ribosomal RNA is filed under the name Cetobacterium sp. ZF1NB02. RNAcentral describes it as "bacterial SSU rRNA". It matches the Rfam family "Bacterial small subunit ribosomal RNA", at positions 78 to 903 of the family's 1533-position model. The record is from RNAcentral. Lineage: Bacteria; Fusobacteriati; Fusobacteriota; Fusobacteriia; Fusobacteriales; Fusobacteriaceae.
CUUCGGGUAUUGAGGAUGGCGGACGGGUGAGUAACGCGUAAGGAACUUGCCUCUUGGACUGGGACAACUGUUGGAAACGACAGCUAAUACCGGAUAUUAUGAGAUUCUCGCAUGAGAAACUUAUGAAAGCUAUAUGCGCCAAGAGAGAGCCUUGCGUUCCAUUAGCUAGUUGGUGGGGUAAUGGCCCACCAAGGCGACGAUGGAUAGCCGGCCUGAGAGGGUGAACGGCCACAAGGGGACUGAGACACGGCCCUUACUCCUACGGGAGGCAGCAGUGGGGAAUAUUGGACAAUGGGCCACAAGCCUGAUCCAGCAAUUCUGUGUGCACGAUGAAGGUCUUCGGAUUGUAAAGUGCUUUCAGUUGGGAAGAAGAAAGUGACGGUACCAACAGAAGAAGCGACGGCUAAAUACGUGCCAGCAGCCGCGGUAAUACGUAUGUCGCAAGCGUUAUCCGGAUUUAUUGGGCGUAAAGCGCGUCUAGGCGGAAAAAUAAGUCUGAUGUUAAAAUGCGGGGCUCAACUCCGUAUUGCGUUGGAAACUGUUUUUCUAGAGUACUGGAGAGGUGGGCGGAACUACAAGUGUAGAGGUGAAAUUCGUAGAUAUUUGUAGGAAUGCCGAUGGAGAAGUCAGCUCACUGGACAGAUACUGACGCUGAAGCGCGAAAGCGUGGGGAGCAAACAGGAUUAGAUACCCUGGUAGUCCACGCCGUAAACGAUGAUCACUAGGUGUUGGGGGUCGAACCUCAGCGCCCAAGCUAACGCGAUAAGUGAUCCCCCUGGGGAGUACCCACGCAAGUGUGAAACUCA